Non-coding RNA from Agrilus planipennis (emerald ash borer), 205 nucleotides. The record is from Rfam. Lineage: Eukaryota; Metazoa; Arthropoda; Insecta; Coleoptera; Buprestidae.
ACAUUUUCAAAAAACCGCUUAACAAAUGCCCUGCUAGGCUACAGCGUAUGAUGUUAUGCUGAAGAGGACCCUAGUUGGUCCUAGAACGACCUGAGGUAGAGGGGUUUUAGUCGGUAGGUCCGAGGACUUCUUCCUCGGGAAUCCGACACUACCCAGUCGUACGGACGGCUGGGUGUCUUCUGAAGAUUUCCCCUCUUCCACGAAA